AAUUAAUAAGCUUAGAUAGCAUUUGUUUUGAAAACUUAAGAAAGAAUAAAAUUAUUCUAUUAAUUU
This 66-nucleotide transfer RNA is filed under the name Chimarra sadayu. RNAcentral's name for it is "tRNA-Ser". The record is from RNAcentral. Lineage: Eukaryota; Metazoa; Arthropoda; Insecta; Trichoptera; Philopotamidae.